RNAcentral lists this unclassified non-coding RNA (1692 nucleotides) under Hevea brasiliensis (rubber tree). The record is from RNAcentral. Lineage: Eukaryota; Viridiplantae; Streptophyta; Magnoliopsida; Malpighiales; Euphorbiaceae.
GAAAUUCCAAGUAGCUCGGCGUCGUGGUUUGGGAGAAGAACAGUAAGAGAAGAUGUUGGAGGUGGUGUUGAACGAUCGCUUAGGGAAGAAGGUGAGAGUUAAGUGCAACGAUGAUGACACCAUCGGCGACCUUAAGAAACUCGUAGCUGCGCAGACCGGUACCCGAGCCGAGAAGAUCCGAAUCCAGAAGUGGUACACUGUUUACAAAGAUCAUAUCACUCUCAAGGACUACGAGAUUCAUGACGGAAUGGGUCUCGAGCUCUACUACAAUUAACUCCCAAAGUACUAUUUGGUUUUUUUUUUCACUGUUUAUCGAUUUAAUGUUUGUGUAUUUUGAUUUAAGUUAAUAAAUUUGCUCUUUUUGUGUAUUUUUUUAGAAAUUGAAGUCUAAUUUAGUAGAUCUUCUUUGCUGCUUUUGGUUUAAGCUUGUUUUCGAGGGAAGCACCAAGAAAUUGAGCCAGGUUUAAUAUAAAUUGCUGAGUUUGGAGCUGUAAAUGCAUGUUAAUUAUAAUUAUGGGAACUGAUUCAUCUGGGUCUUUACAAUUAUUUAGCAAUUGGCUUAAUAUAGCUGUUGAUUAAAGAAAAGGGUUUGGGUAGAAACCUCGAUUAAUUUCGGCUAAUUACUGUGACGUGAGAGGUUUAACAAUUAACAUUGUUCUUUUUGGAAAAGAAGGGUCCUUUAGCUGAGCUCUAUAAAUUUUCCCAUGUAGGAGUAUAAUAAUGUUUUGAGUGUACAGAUGAUCAGUAUCCAAUUUUCUUAGGUGAGAGGAGAAAUGAAAUAAAAGAUGAACUUGCAUGAAUGACAAACUUGUUGAAGUUCUGGAAAGAUUAUUCAUCUAAAUCUUUAUUCUCUUUAUAUUUCUCUCUUCUGCCUCCGUUUCCUGUCCAGUAGACCACUGUGUGUGACUGUCUGCUUCUGAAUCUAAGGUCUACAACAUAAAUACACAUGAUUUGAUUGUGCGUAUGUGUGCAAAUUUUAACUUCUUUUUAAUUUCAAUUUUAUAUGUUCUUUUAAUCUUUUAGGAUCUGAUAAUAAAAAUUGUAGAAGGAUAUAUUUAAAACUCCAUCUCCAAUCCAAUAUCUCUUCUUCUUCACUUUAUACUUAGUAGUCUUCUCUGUUUUGUAGUCUUGUUUCCAGGUUUAAGUUAUAUUUAUAUUUGAUAUUCAGAUUGGUGUUUUAUAUGUAUAUACACAGAUAUUUAUCAUAAGUUUUCUUUGGCUACCAUGAAAAGUUGAUCUUGGCAAAUGAGUUGACCACCAACCAUAUUUUUCCUGUUCUGCAAUUUUCUCAUUAAACGGAUAGAAUAAUGACGUACAUUAACAUGAUAUAAGAACACGUACAAUAGCCUUGUAUGGGUUUUGUUGCGAAUAUGGUCCUAGCAAGCAAUAAUUCAGCAAGGGAGUAUAUAGGGAGUACCCUACCUAAAGACUGCUUUACAAAUUGGACUAUGAUUAGCUGCUAGUAGACUGGUAGUCUUGAAAGGGGAAUUUAACAAUCUUAGAAGACAGACAGAGACAAUUUGAUCAGAGAGAGAGCUUGUGAAAUUGGCCUCAAAAGAAAAAAUGGUGACCCAAUGCAUGAAGCAUCUCGAUAGUUGAACCCUCUUUUUUUUUUAAAUCAAAAAGAUAGAUAAAAUUGUUUUCUAUGGUGCCUUCUCUUUUUCAUGUGAAAUUUAACUUCCUUUUAUUGAG